UUUCACUUUGCUGAAAAACUCUGCUUACGCUCAUUCUUCCCUGUUUGGAACAAAUUAAUCUGAGAGCAAAAUCUGGCUUGGGAUGUAUUGACAUGGAUGGCACAUUCCUUAAUGCUCUAUUUAUAUGACAAUAGAAGAGAGUUAUGUCGCCUACGCAGAAGACCUAUACAGAAGAGGUUCUUCACCAUCACUACCAGAAGCACACACAAGAUCAUCCUGAUCCCACUCAGGUUAACUGUCUGGACAGCUGUGAGUCAAGCCUUCAAGCCACGCUGCUUUAUCUGAUUGGUCUCAGACUUGAUCUGGCACAUGAAAGGAAAUGUGAGGAAGUUUCAAGCAGGGAUCGUUUUGCAAGUCCAGAGCUGAGGGUGAGGUCAAGUUCACUCACAUUUUUGGAGUAUCACAUUGCAAACAUAAAGCACCGUGCAUACAGCAUGAGGGUUGGUGGAGCAGUGGUUUCAACUGCAGGAGAUCUGUGUUGCUGGAGUAUUUUCGUGUUAUUUACCAGCAUCAAUGAAAUAUACCACACUAAAGAAACAGCAGUUGCAUGUAUUUUUUAAAGGCGACCCUUCUAGGGAAUAGGCAUAUGGUGACUUUAUCUUCGUUUUGAUGUUUAACUCACACAGGUGUUGCAAGCAUCUCGUGGAGCUGCAGGGUAAUGUUAGCAUUUAGUUAAUGAGUAAGUUCUUAUUAUUCAUGUGGCAUUAAUUUAGCCCACGAUGUUACUCCUUUCCUCUUGCGGUGCGUUCAGAGUCGUGGAGAUUGCUGCAAGAAUUUAUGGGAUGGAAAAGCAGAUAUUUAACUAUGGGGCUUUUUAAAGCUGUGUGGAGUAAUAAAAUCAUUACUGUUGGAAAAGACUACCAAGAUCAUCUAGUCUGACCAUCAACCCAUCGCCACCAUGCCCUCUAACCAUGUUCCUCAGUCCUACUGACUCGACUGCCCUCCUUGCAAACAAGCUCUGUUCCAGACUCAGCCUUAGGUCGUCACUUCAUAAAAAUGGUCUCAUUUCUACUAGGGCCUCACUGAGAUUUCCCAGUCAGUCAUUUUUCUGAAGAUGUUUAAGUCUUAAAUGCGUACUUUGUUAUUCUGAAAGGCUUUAUGGCUUUGUGUAAUCAGUUUUUCUUAAAGGAGAAUUGUUGGGUAAGCUGUACAUUUCAGCAAAACCACAAUUUAAAAUUUUGUUAUCUGUUGUAACAUGCAGUAAAUUCCAUGGUUAAUGGAAGAGCAUAUUGAGCAAAAUCCUGUGCCACUCCUGAGCUCAGUUGUACCAAGUGCUCUAAAGGCUGUCUGUGUGGAACAGGUCUGCAUGCUUGUCACUGUUGCGGUGUAAAUGUUGUAUUUCUCAACAUCUACUACGGAGAAGCAGGAGUUUAUUCUCUAAGAAUAGAAAAGCAGAACAGAUAUGAGCAGCUCCCAGGGGGUCGCUGGCCAUCAGCAUUUUCACACUUAGCAUAUUCAGAUAAGUGUGGGGACCUUGUGCGUGGUAGAUGCAAAAUGUUGUACAUACCCACUUUGUUUCCUGAAGUAUUUCUACAUUUCUAGCAUUUACUUACAGCUACCUGAAAUGUUG
This is a long non-coding RNA of Gallus gallus (chicken), 1570 nucleotides long. The record is from Ensembl. Lineage: Eukaryota; Metazoa; Chordata; Aves; Galliformes; Phasianidae.